AUUGAACGCUGGCGGCAGGCUUAACACAUGCAAGUCGAGCGGGGUGAUGGUGCUUGCACUAUCACUUAGCGGCGGACGGGUGAGUAAUGCUUAGGAAUCUGCCUAUUAGUGGGGGACAACAUCUCGAAAGGGAUGCUAAUACCGCAUACGUCCUACGGGAGAAAGCAGGGGAUCACUCGUGACCUUGCGCUAAUAGAUGAGCCUAAGUCGGAUUAGCUAGUUGGUGGGGUAAAGGCCUACCAAGGCGACGAUCUGUAGCGGGUCUGAGAGGAUGAUCCGCCACACUGGGACUGAGACACGGCCCAGACUCCUACGGGAGGCAGCAGUGGGGAAUAUUGGACAAUGGGGGGAACCCUGAUCCAGCCAUGCCGCGUGUGUGAAGAAGGCCUUAUGGUUGUAAAGCACUUUAAGCGAGGAGGAGGCUCUUUUGGUUAAUACCCAAGAUGAGUGGACGUUACUCGCAGAAUAAGCACCGGCUAACUCUGUGCCAGCCGCCGCGGUAA
RNAcentral lists this ribosomal RNA (503 nucleotides) under uncultured bacterium. RNAcentral describes it as "partial 16S ribosomal RNA". It matches the Rfam family "Bacterial small subunit ribosomal RNA", at positions 30 to 523 of the family's 1533-position model. The record is from RNAcentral.